RNAcentral lists this ribosomal RNA (206 nucleotides) under uncultured bacterium. RNAcentral describes it as "partial 16S ribosomal RNA". It matches the Rfam family "Bacterial small subunit ribosomal RNA", at positions 568 to 774 of the family's 1533-position model. The record is from RNAcentral.
CACGUAGGCGGGUUUGUAAGUAGGGGUGAAAUCCCUGGGCUCAACCCAGGAACUGCCUUCUAGACUGCAAGCCUGGAGGUCAGGAGAGGCGAGUGGAAUUCCGAGUGUAGAGGUGAAAUUCGUAGAUAUUCGGAGGAACACCAGUGGCGAAGGCGACUCGCUGGACUGAUACUGACGCUGAGGUGCGAAAGCGUGGGGAGCAAACA